This is a non-coding RNA of Danio rerio (zebrafish), 115 nucleotides long. Lineage: Eukaryota; Metazoa; Chordata; Actinopteri; Cypriniformes; Danionidae. The record is from Rfam.
GCCGGCAGCUAGCUCUCUGCAAAUCUCACAUGGUCGCCUACUGAAGACAAGCAGAGCUGCGCCCGGUCAGUACCUGGAUGGGAGAUCAGAUGGGAAAGCUUGGUUGCAGCCGGAC